Molecule: ribosomal RNA, 827 nt
Filed under: human gut metagenome
Description: bacterial SSU rRNA
Rfam family: Bacterial small subunit ribosomal RNA
Source: RNAcentral
AACGGGUGGUAAUGCCGGAUGCUCCAGUUGAUCGCAUGGUCUUCUGGGAAAGCUUUCGCGGUAUGGGAUGGGGUCGCGUCCUAUCAGCUUGACGGCGGGGUAACGGCCCACCGUGGCUUCGACGGGUAGCCGGCCUGAGAGGGCGACCGGCCACAUUGGGACUGAGAUACGGCCCAGACUCCUACGGGAGGCAGCAGUGGGGAAUAUUGCACAAUGGGCGCAAGCCUGAUGCAGCGACGCCGCGUGAGGGAUGGAGGCCUUCGGGUUGUAAACCUCUUUUAUCGGGGAGCAAGCGAGAGUGAGUUUACCCGUUGAAUAAGCACCGGCUAACUACGUGCCAGCAGCCGCGGUAAUACGUAGGGUGCAAGCGUUAUCCGGAAUUAUUGGGCGUAAAGGGCUCGUAGGCGGUUCGUCGCGUCCGGUGUGAAAGUCCAUCGCUUAACGGUGGAUCCGCGCCGGGUACGGGCGGGCUUGAGUGCGGUAGGGGAGACUGGAAUUCCCGGUGUAACGGUGGAAUGUGUAGAUAUCGGGAAGAACACCAAUGGCGAAGGCAGGUCUCUGGGCCGUUACUGACGCUGAGGAGCGAAAGCGUGGGGAGCGAACAGGAUUAGAUACCCUGGUAGUCCACGCCGUAAACGGUGGAUGCUGGAUGUGGGGCCCGUUCCACGGGUUCCGUGUCGGAGCUAACGCGUUAAGCAUCCCGCCUGGGGAGUACGGCCGCAAGGCUAAAACUCAAAGAAAUUGACGGGGGCCCGCACAAGCGGCGGAGCAUGCGGAUUAAUUCGAUGCAACGCGAAGAACCUUACCUGGGCUUGACAUGUUCCCGA